Micropterus dolomieu (smallmouth bass) is the source of this 4055-nucleotide long non-coding RNA. RefSeq lists it as uncharacterized. The record is from RefSeq and is a predicted model, not a curated record. The transcript has 2 exons. Lineage: Eukaryota; Metazoa; Chordata; Actinopteri; Centrarchiformes; Centrarchidae.
AUUUGUGGAUGCAAGCUAUUCAGAACAUUUUUAACAGCUUUGAGAAAAGUGAAUUUGCACUUAUUUAAUUUUAAGCUAAAAAAAAAUAUCAAGCUACUAAUUAUAAAACGAUCCCAAAACUUGCACACACCAGUCAGUAACUUUACCAACUUGUUGACGGUGUCUUUUUGGCCAAGUUUUGCGUUCUGCCACCUGAGUUUUAUGUUUCCCUUUUACAUAAAUAAAAACAUUUCCACCAUAAAUGAUCUAUUAUCUCGUUGCAGUACAUAAUUGCAAGUUAUCUAUAAAAAUAUAAGCUUAAACAGACCCCUCUGACACCGUCUGUGUGUUUAUCUGCUUGCAUAUCCUUGUCACCUUUUUUACCCCUGACCAGUUUGCAUGACUGCAUAAAGGUGGAUAAAGGAAAAUCCAGGCUUAUUUUGUUAAAACUAGCUAAUUUGAGUGCGUGAUCCAUUCCAGUACUGUGGCUUAUCUACCACCUCUAUAUAGACGUGGAUGUAAAGAGUGCUGGAUUUACUUUAAACCAGCAUUGCAAAUGUUUUAUGAUGAAGGUAAUGUAUUCAGCACAUUUGUUGGAGCUCAUUGUGUUUAGGUGAAUUUACACUGAAUGUAAACACAACUUGUGUUUAGUUAUAGGAAAACUCCACAGGGCCCGUUUAAGUUCAGUGUCCACUUUUUGGUAUCUUGAGGAUAUGAAGCGUCUCCGAGUCCUGUUAGGGCCUCCAGGCUGCGCCCAAAUGCGCGCAUUUACGACCAUUUUUUAAGAUGUGCGAGUAAUUUUUACAACUAUUCGCACAUGUGUAGUAUAUGUGUAUAUUAACAAAAAAAAUAAUCCAACCAAUCAGGCCUCAAACAACAAGGCUAAGUCCUUUCAAAAGCAAAAAUGUAUGUUGAUAUGUUAUGAUGAUAUUGAUGCAUAGCAACAAGCAGGGACUGAUUACAACCAAGCACGAUAGCCCAUUUCGCUUGUAGAUUGAACACAUUCUACACCAGUCCUGACUGUUCUUGUGGGAUUGAGACGGUGAAAUAUUUGACCACAGUGUACCCCAAACUGAUAAUAUCUGAAAAUGAAGACCUUUAUUGCAGUGUCAGGAGAAUUGCCAUGCAUUGCAUAUAAUUAGGGCCUAGGGUCAGAGUUCUGACUGAUGAGUAGACUUUAAUGAUGGUUAUCCUCAACUUGUGUUUCCUGCCCAGCAUUACCGGCCGCAGAUGUUCCUCGACAACCUGACGAGCAGCAUGCAGAGUGCAGCGGCAGCCAGCACCAGCUCAGCCCUGGUCUCCUCCUCCAGCAGCCACUACGACACCAGCACACACGCUGCCGGCUCUAUCCACGAGACCCGGGUCAUCACAGGAGGAGGGGGGGGAGCUGGAGGAGGGACUGACGGUGGCAUAUCGGAUGUCAUUUCACUAGACUGAGCCACAUCUCACUGGACCUGUUAAGGCCUGUUUUCUGUGGCCUUUUUAGUCUAGACUACAUGACGUGUUUAGUUUUACACAAAACACCCAAAUUGGUAUACAUGAGCACUUUGUGGCUGGAACAUUUUUAUAAUAUUAAAAACUAUCCAGGCAUGUUUUCUUUUUGCCUUUAGGUUUUUAUUUGCAAAUGGGCUUUUCAUCCUGUCUGCUAUGGCUGGAUGAUGGAUCGUUUGAUGGCCGAGGACAACGUGUAUCAGUGAAUUGGUUCUUUUAUUCUCUUGACUUCAUCAUUUGGGAAAUAUUAUUGUUAGCUGUUACACCCUAAAUCACACAUCAGUAUUCCCUGGUGUUUCAGCCUUGCGUUAGUCUGCCACCUCUUUAGGAAAAGAAUCUGGCUUGCUAGACGUUUCACUCUUCACCAGCCCCUCACUGACUUCAGCUCUGUGCCUGAGCAUGUACUCAGUUGAAUCAGUGGAACUGUCGACCCUUUCACAUUACAGUCACUUAUUCAGUCUUCAUAUCAAAAUAUAGCAUAGGAUCUUGCAUUAUCAUUUUGACCUGAGCAGUUAGUCUUUUGGCCAUCCAUAUGUGUAUAAAUAUUUUAAUAACCCUUCCACCCUUAGCUCUGCAGUGGUUUUCCUGGCUGAAAGAUACAUGUCAUGUAAUACUUUCCCCCCAGUUUCUCCAGUGAAAAUACAUUGAACUCUUCAUUAAUACCAAUUUGUUUGCUGACUUCAGCCUGUUCUGGCCAGGUUGACAUGAAUUGUGUGCCUCACUAGCAUGGAACAGGGUCAGGAUGAAUAGAAGGAGAGCUUGGACUCACUGCUUUCAGCAAGACUUUUUACAUAACAUCCAUGCAAGUGAAUGAAGCGUUGGAAGUAGGAAGCCCCUCUGUAAAAAGACUGAAACACAUUGUUGACUGCCUGUGUUUGUCCUCGUCACACGGUGGACGGGCUUUUUUGUCUGUUUUUACUGUAUCUCUGCUGGCUUUCUACAGCUGCGUUUUGUCAACCAUUCACACUAAUGGAAACAUGCGAGGCAGAGAAACUAAGAACCACAGUUUGUGGUUUUAGGAGGCAUCGUGUGCUGCCCCAGGCCAGCAGGUUCUCCUGGCUUCCGGUCUUUGUGUUAGGCUAGGCUGACCACGUCCUGCUCCAGCUAUGUGCUGAACACAGACGUGGGAUUGAUCUUCUCAUCUCUCUGAAAGAAAGUCAAGUGUAUUCCCAAAAUGUUGAACAGUUCUUUUUUUAAAUGCUGUCACAAAUGUGUGCGUCAGCUUUGAAUAGCAUGAGACGGUUCAGUGGAUUCCGAGAUGAUCUGAGGAAAUCUGAAUACAGAUUCCUCUUCAGUUAAUUUUUUAAAAGUCCAGUCUGUAAUUCUUAACUCUGACCCCUAUCUUUGAUUUUGGUGUAUGUUGAUGAUGCUGCAUGUUGGGAUGGAUGGAUGUGACACGGACAUUUGCUCAGUAUUAACACCUACACAUAAGCCCACUUUCUCACAGUUGACAGAAAGCAGCAACAUAAAGAACAAUAAACAGGGCAGCUACUGUAUUUCCUACCUGUGGCUUGCUUAUCAUCUGGAUUAGCUACUUCUUUGGAUUGCUUGCUGUGUAUGUGGACUCGCAGCCAUCAGGAGCUCAAUCUCAGGGACCUACACUCCACUUUCUGGGCUUGAUGGACCGAGUGAAUGAAUACAUCACAUAGAAACAACACUGUCAGCAUCAGUAACUGAAAUACAGGUGUUGAUGUGAAAGUUAGGCUAAUGUAUGUUUUAGGCCUGUGUCUCUUUUAUUAUAACCUGCCAAUGACUGUUGGCAGGUUCAAGUUUACAUGUUAAAGACUGUGAUAAGAAUCAGUUCCCAGUGACAUUAAAAACUCCCUUAGCUGUAGUGAUUUAUGUGAACAGGUUGUGAGAUACCUCUCUGAGAUUCAAGUCUCCACAGAAUUUAAUUUGUGAAUUGAAAAAUGACAUUUAAAAUAUUGAACAGAACUGUUUCCCUGUUACUCUGGAGAAUUCAGACUAGAGACAGUCAUGACUGGAACGCUAUGAGAACCUUUAGCAGAGUUGUUGCCUUCAUUGUGUUGGCUGGAGGCAGGAAUCUUAGACGGAUGUCUCCAAACCUGGAUAAAUGAAACCUAAAUGAUCUGCUGCAGGUUGGUGAGAUGUGGGGAACCCAUCCUUGCUAAGGUUAGCAUAAGUAAAAGUGAAAAUCUGCUACAUCAACAAUACUGUCACAUCAUUUCCCACCAUUACAGCCCUUUGACUCACAUUAGUGUUGCGUAGGGGUCACUGUGACUUUGUGGAUUUACUGAUCAGACUUUUCACAGCGUCUGUUCGCCUGCAGGCAGAUGUUUCUGAUGUGGCUCCAUGGGAUUUCAUGUCAUGUUUUUUAUUUCUUAUUUUGUACUCAUAUUUUACAGACUUUGAAACUUAGUUCAGAUCACCUGGACAUUUCUCUCUCGACACCACGUUAACAGACUCGGAGAAAAGUACACAUUUUUGUUCGCCUUUUACGAGGUUAAUUACAGGAUGCUUUGUCACAAGUGUCAUUUCCUGUAUCUGUAAACUUGCAGCAUUUUGAAUUAUGGUACCAUGUGUGGGUGUUUUUAUUAUUAAACAUUUUCUUUUUUUAUCAUAAA